RNAcentral lists this ribosomal RNA (696 nucleotides) under uncultured archaeon. RNAcentral describes it as "bacterial SSU rRNA". It matches the Rfam family "Bacterial small subunit ribosomal RNA", at positions 389 to 1074 of the family's 1533-position model. The record is from RNAcentral.
CAUCCAUUCCGCGUGAGUGAAGAAGGCCUUCGGGUUGUAAAGCUCUUUCGCAAGGGAAGAAAACUUAUGAUCGAAUAAAUCAUGAGGUUGACGGUACCUUGAUAAGAAGCACCGGCUAACUACGUGCCAGCAGCCGCGGUAAUACGUAGGGUGCGAGCGUUAAUCGGAAUUACUGGGCGUAAAGCGUGCGCAGGCGGUUUUGUAAGUCGGAUGUGAAAUCCCCGGGCUCAACCUGGGAACUGCGUUCGAAACUGCAAGGCUAGAGUGUGUCAGAGGGGGGUAGAAUUCCACGUGUAGCAGUGAAAUGCGUAGAGAUGUGGAGGAAUACCAAUGGCGAAGGCAGCCCCCUGGGAUAACACUGACGCUCAUGCACGAAAGCGUGGGGAGCAAACAGGAUUAGAUACCCUGGUAGUCCACGCCCUAAACGAUGUCAACUAGUUGUUGGUAGAGUAAAAUCUAUGAGUAACGUAGCUAACGCGUGAAGUUGACCGCCUGGGGAGUACGGUCGCAAGAUUAAAACUCAACGGAAUUGACGGGGGCCCGCACAAGCGGUGGAUUAUGUGGAUUAAUUCGAUGCAACGCGAAAAACCUUACCUGGCCUUGACAUGUACCGAAUUGAGCAGAGAUGUUCAAGUGCUCGACAGAGAACGGUAACACAGGUGCUGCAUGGCUGUCGUCAGCUCGUGUCGUGAGAUC